GCCGGGCGUGGUGGUGCAUGCCUGUAAUCCCAGCUACUCAGGAGGCUGAGGCAGGAGAAUUGCUUGAACCCAGGAGGCAGAGGUUGCAGUGAGCUGAGAUCAUGCCACUGCACUCUAGCCUGGGUGACAGAGCAAGACUCAGUCUCAA
This is a non-coding RNA of Gorilla gorilla gorilla (western lowland gorilla), 148 nucleotides long. It matches the Rfam family "Metazoan signal recognition particle RNA". Rfam says of the family: The signal recognition particle (SRP) is a universally conserved ribonucleoprotein. It is involved in the co-translational targeting of proteins to membranes. NCBI's taxonomy places the organism in Eukaryota, Metazoa, Chordata, Mammalia, Primates, Hominidae. The record is from Rfam.